ACUCAAAUGAAUAGACGGGGGCCCGCACAAGCAGCGGAGCGUGUGGUUUAAUUCGACGCAACGCGAAGAACCUUACCAGGGCUUGACAUGUACUGUUCAAUCGGUGAAAGCCGAUGGUCUUCGGACGAAGUGCACAGGUGCUGCACGGCUGUCGUCAGCUCGUGCCGUGAGGUGUUGGGUUAAGUCCCGCAACGAGCGCAACCCCUGGCGUAAGUUACAUGUGUCUUACGCGACUGCUGGUGGCAAGCCAGAGGAAGGCGGGGAUGACGUCAAGUCAGCGUGGCCCUUACGUCCUGGGCUACACACACGCUACAAUGGCCGGUACAACGCGCAGCGACGCAGCGAUGCGAAGCGAAUCGCUCAAAGCCGGCCCCAGUUCAGAUUGCAGGCUGAAACCCGCCUGCAUGAAGGCGGAGUUGCUAGUAACCGUGGGUCAGCACACCGCGGUGAAUACGUUCCCGGGCCUUGUACACACCGCCCGU
Molecule: ribosomal RNA, 482 nt
Filed under: uncultured bacterium
Lineage: Bacteria
Description: partial 16S ribosomal RNA
Rfam family: Bacterial small subunit ribosomal RNA
Source: RNAcentral